UGGGCAACCUGCCCCUGACACUGGGAUAACCCCGGGAAACCGGAGCUAAUACCGGAUACUCUCGGCCGAUCACAUGGCUGGCCGAGGAAAGGUCCGCCGGUCAGGGAUGGCCCGCGGCCUAUCAGCUUGUUGGCGAGGUAACGGCUCACCAAGGCGACGACGGGUAGCUGGUCUGAGAGGACGACCAGCCACACUGGAACUGAGAUACGGUCCAGACUCCGUACGGGAGGCA
Molecule: ribosomal RNA, 232 nt
Filed under: uncultured bacterium
Lineage: Bacteria
Description: partial 16S ribosomal RNA
Rfam family: Bacterial small subunit ribosomal RNA
Source: RNAcentral